RNAcentral lists this ribosomal RNA (497 nucleotides) under uncultured bacterium. Its description in RNAcentral is "partial 16S ribosomal RNA". It matches the Rfam family "Bacterial small subunit ribosomal RNA", at positions 28 to 507 of the family's 1533-position model. The record is from RNAcentral.
GAUGAACGCUGGCGGCGUGCCUAAUACAUGCAAGUCGAGCGAACAGACGAGGAGCUUGCUCCUCUGACGUUAGCGGCGGACGGGUGAGUAACACGUGGAUAACCUACCUAUAAGACUGGGAUAACUUCGGGAAACCGGAGCUAAUACCGGAUAAUAUAUUGAACCGCAUGGUUCAAUAGUGAAAGACGGUUUUGCUGUCACUUAUAGAUGGAUCCGCGCCGCAUUAGCUAGUUGGUAAGGUAACGGCUUACCAAGGCAACGAUGCGUAGCCGACCUGAGAGGGUGAUCGGCCACACUGGAACUGAGACACGGUCCAGACUCCUAAGGGAGGCAGCAGUAGGGAAUCUUCCGCAAUGGGCGAAAGCCUGACGGAGCAACGCCGCGUGAAUGAUGAAGGUCUUCGGAUCGUAAAACUCUGUUAUUAGGGAAGAACAAAUGUGUAAGUAACUAUGCACGUCUUGACGGUACCUAAUCAGAAAGCCACGGCUAACUACGUG